GAAUUCACUAGUGAUUUGGCGGCGUGGUUAAGACAUGCAAGUCGAACGAGAGAAUUGCUAGCUUGCUAAUAAUCCUCUAGUGGCGCACGGGUGAGUAACACGUGAGUAACCUGCCCCCGAGAGCGGGAUAGCCCUGGGAAACUGGGAUUAAUACCGCAUAGUAUCGAAAGAUUAAAGCAGCAAUGCGCUUGGGGAUGGGCUCGCGGCCUAUUAGUUAGUUGGUGAGGUAACGGCUCACCAAGGCGAUGACAGGUAGCCGGUCUGAGAGGAUGUCCGGCCACACUGGAACUGAGACACGGUCCAGACACCUACGGGUGGCAGCAGUCGAGAAUCAUUCACAAUGGGGGAAACCCUGAUGGUGCGACGCCGCGUGGGGGAAUGAAGGUCUUCGGAUUGUAAACCCCUGUCAUGUGGGAGCAAAUUAAAAAGAUAGUACCACAAGAGGAAGAGACGGCUAACUCUGUGCCAGCAGCCGCGGUAAUACAGAGGUCUCAAGCGUUGUUCGGAAUCACUGGGCGUAAAGCGUGCGUAGGCUGUUUCGUAAGUCGUGUGUGAAAGGCGCGGGCUCAACCCGCGGACGGCACAUGAUACUGCGAGACUAGAGUAAUGGAGGGGGAACCGGAAUUCACGGUGUAGCAA
Molecule: ribosomal RNA, 639 nt
Filed under: uncultured Akkermansia sp.
Lineage: Bacteria; Pseudomonadati; Verrucomicrobiota; Verrucomicrobiia; Verrucomicrobiales; Akkermansiaceae
Description: bacterial SSU rRNA
Rfam family: Bacterial small subunit ribosomal RNA
Source: RNAcentral